This 689-nucleotide ribosomal RNA is filed under the name Salmonella enterica. Its description in RNAcentral is "partial 23S ribosomal RNA". It matches the Rfam family "Bacterial large subunit ribosomal RNA", at positions 2114 to 2802 of the family's 2925-position model. Lineage: Bacteria; Pseudomonadati; Pseudomonadota; Gammaproteobacteria; Enterobacterales; Enterobacteriaceae. The record is from RNAcentral.
ACACUGAACAUUGAGCCUUGAUGUGUAGGAUAGGUGGGAGGCUUUGAAGUGUGGACGCCAGUCUGCAUGGAGCCGGCCUUGAAAUACCACCCUUUAAUGUUUGAUGUUCUAACGUGGACCCGUGAUCCGGGUUGCGGACAGUGUCUGGUGGGUAGUUUGACUGGGGCGGUCUCCUCCUAAAGAGUAACGGAGGAGCACGAAGGUUGGCUAAUCCUGGUCGGACAUCAGGAGGUUAGUGCAAUGGCAUAAGCCAGCUUGACUGCGAGCGUGACGGCGCGAGCAGGUGCGAAAGCAGGUCAUAGUGAUCCGGUGGUUCUGAAUGGAAGGGCCAUCGCUCAACGGAUAAAAGGUACUCCGGGGAUAACAGGCUGAUACCGCCCAAGAGUUCAUAUCGACGGCGGUGUUUGGCACCUCGAUGUCGGCUCAUCACAUCCUGGGGCUGAAGUAGGUCCCAAGGGUAUGGCUGUUCGCCAUUUAAAGUGGUACGCGAGCUGGGUUUAGAACGUCGUGAGACAGUUCGGUCCCUAUCUGCCGUGGGCGCUGGAGAACUGAGGGGGGCUGCUCCUAGUACGAGAGGACCGGAGUGGACGCAUCACUGGUGUUCGGGUUGUCAUGCCAAUGGCACUGCCCGGUAGCUAAAUGCGGAAGAGAUAAGUGCUGAAAGCAUCUAAGCACGAAACUUGCCCCGA